UCAAGUAAGUAAGGGCGUACGGCGGAUGCCUUGGCCAUAUCAGCCGAAGAAGGACGCGAUAAGCUGCGAUAAGCUGCGGUGAGGUGCAAGUAACCUUUGACCCGCAGAUCUCCGAAUGGGGAAACCCGGCAGCAGUAGUGCUGUCAUCCUCUAUGAGGAAGGGCACCCGGUGAACUGAAACAUCUAAGUAGCCGGAGGAAAAGGAAUCAACAGAGAUACCCCUAGUAGCGGCGAGCGAACGGGGCAGAGCCCAAACCGGGAUGGGAAACCAAUCCGGGGUUGUGGACUGCUAUCAAAUGCAUGAGUGAAGCAGAAUGAGCUGGGAAGCUCAGCCAGAGAGAGUGAGAGCCUCGUAGGCGUAAGCGAAUGCAUGGAGCAGGAUCCGGAGUACCACGGGACACGAGAAACCCUGUGGGAAGCUGGGGGGACCACCCUCCAAGGCGAAACACUGAUAUGGACCGAUAGCGCAUAGUACCGUGAGGGAAAGGUGAAAAGAACCCCGGGAGGGGAAUGAAAGAGAACCUGAAACCGUAUGUCUACAAGCAGUCGAAGACCUUUAUAUGGUCGACGGCGUGCCUAUUGAAGAAUGAACCGGCGAGUUACUUCAGCUAGCGAGGUUAAGCAGGAAAUGCGGAGCCGCAGCGAAAGCGAGUCUGAACAGGGCGUAUAGUUAGUUGGAGUAGACCCGAAACCACAGUGAUCUACCCAUGUCCAGGUUGAAGCACAGGUAAAAAUGUGUGGAGGACCGAACCAGUGAGCGUUGAAAAGCUUUUGGAUGAGAUGUGGGUAGGGGUGAAAUGCCAAUCGAACGUGGAGAUAGCUGGUUCUCCCCGAAAUAGCUUUAGGGCUAGCCUCAUGGCGAGAGUACAGGCGGUAGAGCACUGAACGGGGUAGGGGCCUAUCCGGCUACUGAACCUAAUCAAACUGCGAAUGGCUGUACUUAUCCAUGGGAGUCAGACUGUGAGUAAUAAGGCCCAUAGUCAAGAGGGAAACAGCCCAGACCAACAGCUAAGGUCCCCAAUGCCGUACUAAGUGGCGAAGGAUGUGGAAUUUCGAAAACAACCAGGAUGUUGGCUCAGAAGCAGCCACCAUUAAAAGAGUGCGUAAUAGCUCACUGGUCGAGAGACUCUGCGCCGAAGAUGUCCGGGGCUAAAGUACGGAACCGAAGCUUUGGCAAUUAACAUAAGUUAAUUGGGUAGGGGAGCGUUCCUGCAUGGGAGAAGCCUGACCGGAAGGACAGGUGGACAGGCAGGAAGAGAGAAUGCCGGUAUGAGUAGCGAAAAGAAGGGUGAGAAUCCCUUCCACCGAAAGCCUAAGGGUUCCUGGGCAACGAUCGUCGUCCCAGGGUAAGUCGGGACCUAAUCCGAGGCGGAGACGCGUAGGAGAUGGACAACAGGUUGAAAUUCCUGUACUGGCUGAGGCCGUUUGAGCGAAGGAGUGACACAGGAAGGAAGGCGCGCGUGCGAUUGGAAGAGCACGUCCAAGCAGGUAGGUCGGGAGACAGGCAAAUCCGUUUCCCAGAAGGCCGAGAUGCGAUGGGGAGCUUCUGGAGACAGAAGCGAAGGGGCUGGCACUAAACUGUCGAGAAAAGCUUCUAGUGAGGACUCAGGCACCCGUACCGAAACCGACACAGGUAGGCAGGAUGAGAAUUCUAAGGUGCGCGGGAAAACCCUCGUUAAGGAACUCGGCAAAAUAUAUCCGUAACUUCGGGAAAAGGAUAACCCAGCGUACGUGAAGUGCAGAAGCGCAUGGAGCGGAGAUGGGUGGCAGAAGAGAGGCCCAAGCGACUGUUUACCACAAACACAGGCGUCUGCUAAAGCGAAAGCUGAUGUAUAGAUGCUGACACCUGCCCGGUGCUGGAAGGUUAAGAGGAAGUGUUAGCGCAAGCGAAGCAGUGAAUUGAAGCCCCAGUAAACGGCGGCCGUAACUAUAACGGUCCUAAGGUAGCGAAAUUCCUUGUCGGGUAAGUUCC
This 1972-nucleotide ribosomal RNA is filed under the name human gut metagenome. Its description in RNAcentral is "bacterial LSU rRNA". It matches the Rfam family "Bacterial large subunit ribosomal RNA", at positions 3 to 1984 of the family's 2925-position model. The record is from RNAcentral.